RNAcentral lists this non-coding RNA (243 nucleotides) under Ligilactobacillus equi. RNAcentral describes it as "Lactobacillus equi T-box sequence". It matches the Rfam family "T-box leader". Rfam says of the family: Uncharged tRNA acts as the effector for transcription antitermination of genes in the T-box leader family. The record is from RNAcentral. Lineage: Bacteria; Bacillati; Bacillota; Bacilli; Lactobacillales; Lactobacillaceae.
AAAAACACAUGGAUGAGAAGAGUAGUUCUGGGAAAGCUUGACAGAAAGUCUCGGUGGAUGAGAAGAGAUAAGUGGUAGCAGAAUGAAGGUAAUCUCUGAGUGGUCGAUGCGACGCAGAUGCGAAGUUUCGAAAGGGUUCGCCCUUUAUCGCGACAACGUCUUGCCAAAUAGGCAGUACGGGGUAAGGCUUGCUUGGCGACAGGCAAGUAAAACAAGGUGGUAACACGCAUCUGCGUCCUUGCU